GUCCUUUCUGGUUAUUCCUUUCUUUUUCGCUUUCUCUCCAUUUCCCACAUUCAGUCUCCCUCUUCUCUUCUAUCCUGUCCCCUUUCGUUCAUAUGAGCACCUCCUUUGUUGGUAGCUUCUUAGAAGAAUGUCCUCUUUUCCACUCACCAGCUGUGGGUUGUAGUCCGGGAAGUGGGAAACUGGUAUCCACAUAUUGCUGAAGUAU
RNAcentral lists this long non-coding RNA (205 nucleotides) under Homo sapiens (human). Its description in RNAcentral is "non-protein coding lnc-INO80-2:1". Lineage: Eukaryota; Metazoa; Chordata; Mammalia; Primates; Hominidae. The record is from RNAcentral.